RNAcentral lists this transfer RNA (66 nucleotides) under Rhynocoris fuscipes. Its description in RNAcentral is "tRNA-Trp". The record is from RNAcentral. Lineage: Eukaryota; Metazoa; Arthropoda; Insecta; Hemiptera; Reduviidae.
AAAGCUUUAAGUUAAAAAAACUAUUAACCUUCAAAGUUAAAAUUAUAAGGAUUCUUAUAAGCUUUA